GACGAACGCUGGCGGCGUGCUUAACACAUGCAAGUCGAACGGAAAGGCCCUGCUUUUGUGGGGUGCUCGAGUGGCGAACGGGUGAGUAACACGUGAGUAACCUGCCCUUGACUUUGGGAUAACUUCAGGAAACUGGGGCUAAUACCGGAUAGGAGCUCCUGCUGCAUGGUGGGUGUUGGAAAGUUUCGGCGGUUGGGGAUGGACUCGCGGCUUAUCAGCUUGUUGGUGGGGUAGUGGCUUACCAAGGCUUUGACGGGUAGCCGGCCUGAGAGGGUGACCGGCCACAUUGGGACUGAGAUACGGCCCAGACUCCUACGGGAGGCAGCAGUGGGGAAUAUUGCACAAUGGGCGGAAGCCUGAUGCAGCAACGCCGCGUGCGGGAUGACGGCCUUCGGGUUGUAAACCGCUUUCGCCUGUGACGAAGUGUGAGUGACGGUAAUGGGUAAAGAAGCACCGGCUAACUACGUG
RNAcentral lists this ribosomal RNA (468 nucleotides) under uncultured bacterium. RNAcentral's name for it is "partial 16S ribosomal RNA". It matches the Rfam family "Bacterial small subunit ribosomal RNA", at positions 28 to 507 of the family's 1533-position model. The record is from RNAcentral.